RNAcentral lists this ribosomal RNA (460 nucleotides) under uncultured bacterium. Its description in RNAcentral is "partial 16S ribosomal RNA". It matches the Rfam family "Bacterial small subunit ribosomal RNA", at positions 338 to 795 of the family's 1533-position model. The record is from RNAcentral.
CCUACGGGUGGCAGCAGUGAGGAAUAUUGGUCAAUGGGCUUACGCCUGAACCAGCCAAGUCGCGUGAGGGAAGACUGCCCUAUGGGUUGUAAACCUCUUUAGGCGGGGAGCAAUGCCGGGCACGCGUGCCCGGAGGGAGAGUACCCGCAGAAUAAGCAUCGGCUAACUCCGUGCCAGCAGCCGCGGUAAUACGGAGGAUGCGAGCGUUAUCCGGAUUUAUUGGGUUUAAAGGGUGCGUAGGCGGAUUUUUAAGUCAGCGGUAAAAUGUCCGGGCUCAACCCGGGCCGGCCGUUGAAACUGGGGAUCUUGAGUGGGCGAGAAGUAUGCGGAAUGCGUGGUGUAGCGGUGAAAUGCAUAGAUAUCACGCAGAACUCCGAUUGCGAAGGCAGCAUACCGGCGCUCAACUGACGCUCAUGCACGAAAGUGUGGGUAUCGAACAGGAUUAGAUACCCCAGUAGUC